AAAUAUAUAAUUUUAGAAUAUUGAUAUCUCUUUUUAUAUAUGAUAUAAUUUCUAUUCUAUUUUGAAAAAUAAUUUGAAAAGCUUAUCCAAAAAUAUUGGUUUGUCUGAUAUACCAAUGCCUUUAUGUGAGGUGCUAAAAGUGUAUAAAUAGAAACUGUUUUUGUUACUAAUCUUGCUUUAGUUUUUGAUACUACAUUUUAAUUUAUACUGAUACUCAGUUAAUUACAUCCUAGGUGGUUCUUUAAAGACUGACUUUAGAUGGAAACUGGAUAAAUACAUACAGGAGUUGCAGUCUAUAAAGUGUAAAGUCUCUAAUGUGGUGCAUCACUCUACCACUUGUAUACUCCUAUAAGGACCUAAAGAUAAAAAAAAAAAAAUUAAAUAGUUCUAAGGUCCCAAUCAAAUACAUAAAUAGUGCUACAUGCAAGACACAGAGUUGGUCCACUUAUAUCUUUCUUUUUCAUGGUUAUAGUGUCUGGAGUCCACUUCCAUUCAGUAUUAAACCGUUUUUAACCUUUUAAUGCUAAGUGAGAGUUCCCAGUGUUGCGUGGGUUAAUGAGGAAUCAUUAGCUUGAGCAGCAAUAGGUGGCUGUGAUUGACUAUUUGUGUCAACUGACUGCUUUAACGCUAUUGAUCACGCAUUGCUGGCGUGAUUUGGUAUGGCUAGAAGGAAGUCUGUAAUAUCUGCCUACCUCCAGUACAGAACAGGCUGUUGGUGACCAGGGAGCCUUCUUUACUGUUAAAUUGCUCGAUUAUGGUUUAAUACUGAAUCGAGGGACAGUGCCAAAGGAGCUUGCAUAUUAUAUCCAAUUAAAGAAGAGAUGGAAUGUUUAUGGUGUCUACUGCGUCCUUUAAGCUGAUGGAGAGAUGUUGCUUUUGGUUAUUCUGCAUCGUUUGCUAUGUGGGUAGGACCGCUACAUAUGUCAUAUACUUAUAUGUCACUUUAUAUUCAGCUGGAUCUUCUGCUGCACUGCUCAGAGGAGACAUGGUAACUGUAAUGGAAGGCCUUUAUGACCAGCUGAAUAGGUGCUUUUGCGCUACUGCACUGAUGUGCACUGAAAAUGAAUCAAAGUAAAUUUACUCACCUUUUUACCACUGCUGUGUCUUCCUUUAUGAAUCCAUAUUCUUCUCUUCGCUUGACUUCCAGGAUGAUGGUCCAAUCUAAUGCUCCUCAUAGAGGAGCGAUCUGCCAAUCAUCGCAGUCCACCAGUGAUUCUGUCAUAGAGAAUCAUUACAUGCAAUGAUUCUCUAUGGCAAGCUGUGACGGCACUGUGAAU
This is a non-coding RNA of Pelobates cultripes (western spadefoot toad), 1277 nucleotides long. NCBI's taxonomy places the organism in Eukaryota, Metazoa, Chordata, Amphibia, Anura, Pelobatidae. The record is from the annotation of a GenBank genome assembly.